This 405-nucleotide ribosomal RNA is filed under the name uncultured Eubacteriales bacterium. Its description in RNAcentral is "uncultured Clostridiales bacterium partial 16S ribosomal RNA". It matches the Rfam family "Bacterial small subunit ribosomal RNA", at positions 355 to 774 of the family's 1533-position model. Lineage: Bacteria; Bacillati; Bacillota; Clostridia; Eubacteriales. The record is from RNAcentral.
UGGGGAAUAUUGGGCAAUGGGCGCAAGCCUGACCCAGCAACGCCGCGUGAAGGAAGAAGGCCCUCGGGUUGUAAACUUCUUUUAUUUAGGACGAAACAAAUGACGGUACUGAAUGAAUAAGCCACGGCUAACUACGUGCCAGCAGCCGCGGUAAUACGUAGGUGGCAAGCGUUAUCCGGAUUUACUGGGUGUAAAGGGCGUGUAGGCGGGACGACAAGUCAGAUGUGAAAUUCCAGGGCUCAACUCUGGACCUGCAUUUGAAACUGUUGUUCUUGAGUGAUGGAGAGGCAGGCGGAAUUCCGAGUGUAGCGGUGAAAUGCGUAGAUAUUCGGAGGAACACCAGUGGCGAAGGCGGCCUGCUGGACAUUAACUGACGCUGAGGCGCGAAAGCGUGGGGAGCAAACA